RNAcentral lists this non-coding RNA (494 nucleotides) under Contracaecum osculatum. The record is from RNAcentral. Lineage: Eukaryota; Metazoa; Nematoda; Chromadorea; Rhabditida; Anisakidae.
UGUAAACUUGUACUCUAAUUGAUGUUGUCCUUAAAUGUCUGUUUAUUAAUCUACUUUUAGUUUUUGGGUAAAAUUAGAGAUUUUGUUAAUUAUUGUUUGAGGACAAAAAAUUUAGUGAACGAGCCAGAUUAGUACCUGGUUAGAUAAAAGUUAAAAGAGCAGGAGUAAGGUUGUAUUUAAACUGUAAGAAUAUUGGCAGGUUUUUAAAUUAUCUUUGGAGGUUGAAUAGUAAUUGAGAGCCCUCAUUAUCUACUUUUAUUUUAGGCGCAUGUAUGAUCGUUUAUUUUAUUCUUGAGGAUUGUAAUUUUAGUUUAUAGCUGUAAAAAUAGAUAUAUACUUGGUCUAUAUUAAAGUUUAUUUUGACCUACAAUAUUAUAUGUUAUGGAUAAUAUUUGUAGUAAAUAUUUGAAAUUGUAAAAGACAGUAAAAUCUUUUUAAUGUGGAUUUGAAGUUUAUUUAAAAACGGUACAAAUCAUCCAUCAAUUGCCCAUAGG